RNAcentral lists this long non-coding RNA (485 nucleotides) under Coffea arabica (coffee). RNAcentral's name for it is "long non-coding RNA (CARA_LNC000154)". The record is from RNAcentral. Lineage: Eukaryota; Viridiplantae; Streptophyta; Magnoliopsida; Gentianales; Rubiaceae.
UUCUCACUUCUGCUUGUAUUUUCUUUAGUGCAGAAGGGCUCUUCAUCAGGGCUGUCAUUGCCCAAAUAAUUGCUGCUGCAGCUGUAUCCGUCCCAGCAAUAAAUAUAUCCUGUGAUAAAAGGGUAAACGAUUAUUAUUAAGGACCAUAUCAACUAUUUUAACGCAAAAAAAAAAAAAACUUUCAGUUUACUUGAUUUAUGUUGAGAAAACCAUGUACCAAUAUGCUUGUUAAAGAAGAUGAAAAAAGAAAGAAGAGGAAAUUCAACAAUUGAUUAUCUUGAAAAUAGGGAUAUACUACCAUGAGAAUUGCCUUUAUGUGAUCCCAAGAUAGGCCUAUAAUUGAUGAUUGUUCUUCUUUUAGCUGAAUUAAGAGAUCGAGCAAAUCAUCCUUCAUGCUUUGUGGUCUGUUUGGAUUGAGAUGCUCCUGUAUCAACUCUUGGUAGAAUAAAUCCAGCUCAUUGAAAUUCUUCUCAAGACGUUCAAUA